AUUGAACGCUGGCGGCAUGCCUUACACAUGCCAGUCGAACGGUAACGGGCCUUCGGGUGCCGACGAGUGGCGAACGGGUGAGUAAUACAUCGGAACGUGCCCGAUCGUGGGGGAUAACGAGGCGAAAGCUUUGCUAAUACCGCAUACGAUCUACGGAUGAAAGCAGGGGACCGCAAGGCCUUGCGCGGACGGAGCGGCCGAUGGCAGAUUAGGUAGUUGGUGGGAUAAAAGCUUACCAAGCCGACGAUCUGUAGCUGGUCUGAGAGGAUGAUCAGCCACACUGGGACUGAGACACGGCCCAGACUCCUACGGGAGGCAGCAGUGGGGAAUUUUGGACAAUGGGCGCAAGCCUGAUCCAGCCAUGCCGCGUGCAGGAUGAAGGCCUUCGGGUUGUAAACUGCCUUUGUACGGAACGAAAAGCCUUCUUUUAAUACAGGAGGGUCAUGACGGUACCGUAAGAAUAAGCACCGGCUAACUACGUG
Molecule: ribosomal RNA, 482 nt
Filed under: uncultured bacterium
Lineage: Bacteria
Description: partial 16S ribosomal RNA
Rfam family: Bacterial small subunit ribosomal RNA
Source: RNAcentral